GACGAACGCUGGCGGCGUGCUUAACACAUGCAAGUCGAACGGAAAGGCCCUGCUUUUGUGGGGUGCUCGAGUGGCGAACGGGUGGGUAACACGUGAGUAACCUGCCCUUGACUUUGGGAUAACUUCAGGAAACUGGGGCUAAUACCGGAUAGGAGCUCCUGCUGCAUGGUGGGGGUUGGAAAGUUUCGGCGGUUGGGGAUGGACUCGCGGCUUAUCAGCUUGUUGGUGGGGUAGUGGCUUACCAAGGCUUUGACGGGUAGCCGGCCUGAGAGGGUGACCGGCCACAUUGGGACUGAGAUACGGCCCAGACUCCUACGGGAGGCAGCAGUGGGGAAUAUUGCACAAUGGGCGGAAGCCUGAUGCAGCAACGCCGCGUGCGGGAUGACGGCCUUCGGGUUGUAAACCGCUUUCGCCUGUGACGAAGCGUGAGUGACGGUAAUGGGUAAAGAAGCACCGGCUAACUACGAG
This 468-nucleotide ribosomal RNA is filed under the name uncultured bacterium. RNAcentral describes it as "partial 16S ribosomal RNA". It matches the Rfam family "Bacterial small subunit ribosomal RNA", at positions 28 to 507 of the family's 1533-position model. The record is from RNAcentral.